GACGAACGCUGGCGGCGUGCCUAAUACAUGCAAGUAGGACGCAGUCGCGAACGGGUGAGUAACGCGUAGGUAACUACCUGUGAGAGGGGGAUAACUACUGGAAACGAUAGCUAAUACCGCAUACUAGUAGAAGGACCUGCGUUGUAUUGGCUAGUGGGUUGGGUAAGGGCCUACCUAGGCAACGAUACAUAGCCGACCUGAGGGGGUGGUCGGCCACACUGGGAAUGGGACCCGGCCCAGACUCCUACGGGAGGCAGCAGGUGGGAAUCAUCGGCAAUUGGGGGAACCCUGACCGAGCAAAGCCGCUGGAGUGGAGGAGGUUUUCGGUGCUUAAAGCUCUGUUGUUAAGGAAGCGGUACUUAACCAGAAAGGGCCGGCUAACUACGUGCCAGCAGCCGCGGUAAUUC
RNAcentral lists this ribosomal RNA (407 nucleotides) under uncultured bacterium. RNAcentral's name for it is "partial 16S ribosomal RNA". It matches the Rfam family "Bacterial small subunit ribosomal RNA", at positions 28 to 526 of the family's 1533-position model. The record is from RNAcentral.